UACGGAGGAGGCAAGCGUUAUCCGGAAUUAUUGGGCGUAAAGCGUCCGUAGGUGGUUCACCAAGUCUGCUGUCAAAGGGUGGGGCUUAACCUCAUAAAGGCAGUGGAAACUGGUGAGCUAGAGUGCGGUAGGGGUAAGGGGGAUUCCCAGUGUAGCGGUGAAAUGCGUUGAGAUUGGGAAGAACAUCGGUGGCGAAAGCGCCUUACUGGGCCUGCACUGACACUGAGGGACGAAAGCUAGGGGAGCGAAAGGG
This 253-nucleotide ribosomal RNA is filed under the name uncultured bacterium. RNAcentral's name for it is "partial 16S ribosomal RNA". It matches the Rfam family "Bacterial small subunit ribosomal RNA", at positions 524 to 776 of the family's 1533-position model. The record is from RNAcentral.